This 377-nucleotide ribosomal RNA is filed under the name uncultured bacterium. Its description in RNAcentral is "bacterial SSU rRNA". It matches the Rfam family "Bacterial small subunit ribosomal RNA", at positions 523 to 898 of the family's 1533-position model. The record is from RNAcentral.
AUACGGAGGGUGCGAGCGUUAUUCGGAAUUACUGGGCGUAAAGCGCGUGUAGGCGGGGGAGCAAGUCUGAUGUGAAAGCCCCGGGCUUAACCCGGGAAGUGCAUUGGAAACUGUUUUUCUUGAGUACUGGAGAGGAGGGGGGAAUUCCCGGUGUAGAGAUGAAAUUCGUAGAGAUCGGGAGGAAUACCAGUGGCGAAGGCGCCCUUCUGGACGGUUACUGACGCUGAGACGCGAAAGCGUGGGGAGCAAACAGGAUUAGAUACCCUGGUAGUCCACGCUGUAAACGAUGAGCACUAGGUGUAGCGGGUACUCAUUCCUGCUGUGCCGCAGCUAACGCGUUAAGUGCUCCGCCUGGGGACUACGGUCGCAAGACUAAA